Long non-coding RNA from Anguilla anguilla (European eel), 1006 nucleotides. RefSeq lists it as uncharacterized. The transcript has 3 exons. Lineage: Eukaryota; Metazoa; Chordata; Actinopteri; Anguilliformes; Anguillidae. The record is from RefSeq and is a predicted model, not a curated record.
CGCUGCCAGCAAACCCAGCCAAACAAACCACAAGAAGGAUAUCGGCAUCACUCGCCACAGUCUACGUGGUGAUAUGUAACUUCCCGAAAUUAUGGUUGAAUUGCAUCAAAAUACGUAAGUCAUAUCAGGUAGAAGGUAUUUCAUUAUUCAACCGCUCACAAAUCCUGCAUCUGCUCAGAAAUUAUGCAGAGCCGCUUUGUGAGAGCAGGAAUUGUUACAUUUGGCCACCAGAGACAGCCAGCGGACACAGGUUGGAAGACACCUCGACAGUUAUUGCAAAGGACUGGAGUGAUAUAAUUAAGUCUCAUGGAGAGACUGAGGUGUGAGGUGCGGGGCUCACUGCUUAGCCCAGUACUGGAUUUUUUCAAUAAGCCACGAGGGGAGGAGACACCAGUGUUUUCCUACUUGAAAGUAUCAUCUGAUAUGGAGGGCUGGGAGGAGGAAGAAGGGAAGCUGCUGUCCUUUGCCACUCUCAGCAAGGGAAGUUCUGAGUAGACGAAGGGGAAUGUCCUGUAUUCAGCAAUGGUAAAAGUCAGGAACAUCAGUGCCCAAUGGGAUGUUAAAGAGCAUCAGUGGAAGAGUUACCAGCAGUGACAGAGUAAAUGGCAGGAUUUUGGUGGAGGGUGCUUUACAAACUCCCGCUCUCCAAGAGGUCAGGGGAUCUUCAGUGGAAGGUGAUGCAUGGGGCCCUGGUGACCAAUAUUUUUCUGUCCAAGUUGAAUUCAAAUGAGGGGAGGGGUUUCUAUUUUGUAAUCUACGUGAAACUGUUGUGCAUGUGUUUGUUGAUUUUAGCUGGUUAUCUUCUUUUCUUCCGGUGUGUGCUCUGUGGGAAGAUGAGUGUUUUUUUCUGUGGGUCUGUACAUACUGGGGCCAAUGGCAAUUUUGCUUACAUUUUCUAUAUGGUCAGGCUAACUUGGUUACAUGGCUCAUAAAAUGGGUCAAAAUACAGAUUUGGGAGCCUGUGGACCUAGUUUCAUGUUUAUGGGAUUGGUUUGUGUGCACCUUA